RNAcentral lists this ribosomal RNA (1114 nucleotides) under Ptychidio longibarbus. Its description in RNAcentral is "partial 16S ribosomal RNA". The stretch from base 182 to 1095 matches the Rfam family "Bacterial large subunit ribosomal RNA", at positions 568 to 2044 of the family's 2925-position model. Lineage: Eukaryota; Metazoa; Chordata; Actinopteri; Cypriniformes; Cyprinidae. The record is from RNAcentral.
CAGCUAGCUUAUCCACCAAUAUAACCAAAUAAUAUAAAUAAAAUAGAAUAGACCAAAUAUCAAAAACUAAACCAUUCUUUUACCUGAGUAUGGGAGACAGAAAAGGUUCAACCAAAGCAAUAGAAACAGUACCGCAAGGGAAAGCUGAAAGAGAAAUGAAAUAACCCAUAUAAGUAUCAAAAAGCAAAGACUAAACCUUGUACCUUUUGCAUCAUGAUUUAGCCAGUAAACACAAGCAAAGAGACCUUUAGUUUGAAACCCCGAAACCAGGUGAGCUACCCCGAGACAGCCUAUUAAGGGCCAACCCGUCUCUGUGGCAAAAGAGUGGGAAGAGCUCCGGGUAGAAGUGACAGACCUACCGAACCUGGUGAUAGCUGGUUGCCUAAGAAAUGGAUAGAAGUUCAGCCUCGUAUGCCUCAAAUCAAACAAGCACUAACCAAGACACCAAGAGAAAAACACGAGAGUUAGUUAAAGGGGGUACAGCCCCUUCAACAAAGGAUACAACCUUACCCAGGAGGAUAAAGAUCAUAUUGUACAAAACAUACUGUUCUAGUGGGCCUAAAAGCAGCCACCUAAACAGAAAGCGUUAAAGCUCAGACAGAAAAAAGUUUAUUAUUCUGAUAAAAAAUCUUACUCCCCUAAAUACUAUUAGGCUAAUCCAUGCCCCCAUGGAAGAAAUUAUGCUAAAAUGAGUAACAAGAAGGCCCGCCCUUCUCCAAGCACAAGUGUAAGCCAAACCGGACCAACCAUUGGCAACUAACGAACUCAACCCAAGAGAGCAAUGUGAAUCACAAAAAAAACAAGAAAACCCCACAACCCAAUCGAUCGUUAACCCCACACUGGAGUGCUAUUAAAGGAAAGACUAAAAGAAAAGGAAGGAACUCGGCAAACACAAGCCUCGCCUGUUUACCAAAAACAUCGCCUCCUGCAACGCAACCAUGUAUAGGAGGUCCAGCCUGCCCAGUGACUACAAGUUCAACGGCCGCGGUAUUUUGACCGUGCAAAGGUAGCGCAAUCACUUGUCUUUUAAAUAGAGACCUGUAUGAAUGGCUAAACGAGGGCUUAACUGUCUCCCCUUUCAAGUCAGUGAAAUUGAUCUGCCCGUGCAGAAGCG